This 70-nucleotide transfer RNA is filed under the name Ictidomys tridecemlineatus (thirteen-lined ground squirrel). RNAcentral describes it as "Spermophilus tridecemlineatus (thirteen-lined ground squirrel) tRNA". It matches the Rfam family "tRNA". From Rfam's summary of the family: Transfer RNA (tRNA) molecules are approximately 80 nucleotides in length. Their secondary structure includes four short double-helical elements and three loops (D, anti-codon, and T loops). Further hydrogen bonds mediate the characteristic L-shaped molecular structure. tRNAs have two regions of fundamental functional importance: the anti-codon, which is responsible for specific mRNA codon recognition, and the 3' end, to which the tRNAs corresponding amino acid is attached (by aminoacyl-tRNA synthetases). tRNAs cope with the degeneracy of the genetic code in two manners: having more than one tRNA (with a specific anti-codon) for a particular amino acid; and 'wobble' base-pairing, i.e. permitting non-standard base-pairing at the 3rd anti-codon position. Lineage: Eukaryota; Metazoa; Chordata; Mammalia; Rodentia; Sciuridae. The record is from Rfam by way of RNAcentral.
GGGGAUGUAGCUCAGUUGGUAGAGUGCUUGUCUUGCAUGCACAAGGCCCUGGGUUCAGUCCCCAGCACCA